RNAcentral lists this ribosomal RNA (460 nucleotides) under uncultured bacterium. RNAcentral's name for it is "partial 16S ribosomal RNA". It matches the Rfam family "Bacterial small subunit ribosomal RNA", at positions 338 to 795 of the family's 1533-position model. The record is from RNAcentral.
CCUACGGGUGGCAGCAGUGAGGAAUAUUGGUCAAUGGACGAGAGUCUGAACCAGCCAAGUAGCGUGAAGGAUGACUGCCCUAUGGGUUGUAAACUUCUUUUAUAUGGGAAUAAAAUGUUCCACGUGUGGGAUUUUGUAUGUACCAUAUGAAUAAGGAUCGGCUAACUUCGUGCCAGCAGCCGCGGUAAUACGGAGGAUCCGAGCGUUAUCCGGAUUUAUUGGGUUUAAAGGGAGCGUAGGUGGAUUGUUAAGUCAGUUGUGAAAGUUUGCGGCUCAACCGUAAAAUUGCAGUUGAAACUGGCAGUCUUGAGUACAGUAGAGGUGGGCGGAAUGCGUGGUGUAGCGGUGAAAUGCUUAGAUAUCACGAAGAACUCCGAUUGCGAAGGCAGUUCACUGGACUGCAACUGACACUGAGGCUCGAAAGUGUGGGUAUCAAACAGGAUUAGAUACCCCAGUAGUC